GUUUGGUGUGAAUUAACAUGAAAGGCAAUUACAGACAGAAUAUGUCACUGUAUUUAUACCUUUGCUUUUUAUUUACAUGAUGUUUUGAAUAGCUGCUUUGCAAAGAAGCUUUCAUGUAUGGAAUUUCCCUUAAUACUGUCACUUGAAAGUCUGAAGUGCUGCUGUAGAUUUUGACAAACCUAUCAACAGGGGAAUGUUUGGUGCCAUUCAAUUAAUCUUGCCUCAUAUCUGUUACCCUUCUAAUCCGAGAGAACUGUUUUACUGUACUGGGAGAAGGGAGGGAGCACUGUCUUGGGAUCAUGGCUAACUCUGCACUGGUUUUCCCAGUCGAAAGAGUAGUGUCUGGGACACUUUCUCAGUUAUUUUCUGAAGAUCAGGUAAAAGUCAUGUUUUCUUUGAAAGUCUUCCUUUUUGUCCCAUGGAUUGCGAAUCUUGCUAUGAUCUAAGAGGCAGUGGUACCCUGCUUAGUUUUCUCAGCACUGUCACUCAUCCUACUGGGACUUCAGAACCUCUGGCAGUGGGCAGGAGAUAGGCUUUCUGCUUACCUUGCCUUACUUAUCUACUGUCUAGGGAAAGCAGGUGUCUUGCUUCCAGGGUUUAAAUUCCCUAGAAGGGGCCAUCUUCUGGGUACCCACGUCAGUUAUUGCUUAUUGUAUAUAUUUGUUAUGCAUUUGCUUAGCAUUUGUCUUUCUGGUAUACAGCUGUUACCAUCAAUGUUGACUUUAAAUCAAUUCCCUGUUGCUGACAAUGGCUGUAAUUCAUUUACAAAAAGCAAUUAUCUUUACUAUGGAAAAAGUCUAGAUAAAAUUCACAUUAAACUGAUGUGAAACAUGUACACCAUACUGUUGGAAGUUGGAGUGUUUUGGCAAUAUCAGCCUUCCAGUCUUAAGUGUGUGUCCCUGCAGAUGACAGGUACUUUCAUGGAGCCAUGAAGUAAAAACUAAGAGUACAACAAUUACAUUUUGGAGUUUGGUGUGUUGUGAGUGCUUAGAUCCGUUCACAUGUGAUUAGGUCCUUCUGUGUACAGUGAGAUGUCACCUGUCUACAGAACUGAACAUCACGUGGACACUUCAAGAAGGGCAAGUGAAUUUUAAAUCAAUUACUUUUUCCUCACUCUGCGAUUGCUGGCAAGUUUUGAGGCAGAACUAAGAAAGUGUACCAAGUACCGAUACCAAGCAUUAUGGAAAUCAUACAUUUUUUUCACGUUCUUCUGAGUCCUAGAUGUUCCAGUGUCCUUAUUAGGGGGAAGCUAGGUUAGAUUCUGUAGCUUUCCUGAAUGUUCAGCUUAAUGAAAAUAUUGACUGUUGAAAGUAAUACAGUUUUUAGAUGCUGAGUCUCUAAACAUGAUAACCAACACAACAUCGUGGACGCAGCAAAGACUGUUGGAGUGAAUACUGCCAUAUAAGAUGCUAAUUAAACUGGGGCUGUAUUUACCCAAAUUGUCAUGACAGGCCCAUCAGUUUCAAGUAGCACAGCUCAGUAGCACAGAGCUCAUGAUUAAAUCAGUUUAAAAUGUGCAUAAAACCAGUAUAUAUCUCAGCCCCUCAAUUAGUAUAAAUGGGAAUGGGUUACACAUGCAUAUUUUCAUAAAAUUGGAAAGUUUGUUACACCUGUAUCUAUCCAGAGAAACUCAGCACUGUUGCCUGGCUUCCUUGAAGAAAUGCCAGCCUUGCUCCCCUUCCAUUCCAAGCUGUAAUUGUGCCACACUCAUCAUUUUAGAUCGGUUCCAGUGUCAUGAUCAGCUUGGAACAUAAGGUGAGCAGAGAAAAAGCGUGCAACUCAGUAGCUUUAUUUGACAUUUUCAUUAUGCUUCAAAACUUUGAGAUAUCCUACCCUGUCAUACCCAGAUAUUUUCAUUUAGAAAGAAAUUGAUUUUACUAGAUGGCUGUAUCUGGAUGGCCCAAUGUCCUCUAAAAUAAGGCAUGCUUGGUAAACAUUUGUUUUUGCACAGAAGUAAACUCAGAAUGAAUCCCAAGGGAAACAGAAGAUAUUUAUGGGAAAAUUUGUCUAUGCAUUCUUAACCUUAGAACUUCCCUUAACUCACUCCUGAGUACACUGUGCAGCAGGGUUUCAAAAUAAAAAUGUGUAGUCUCCCAGAUUUCCUUUGGAAUACAAGUUUUAACUUAAUUACCUACAGAACUGUCUUAAAGUUAAUGCAAGAAAGCAGAGAAAAGUCUCCAGGAUGUUUGUCUUAUAACUGAUUAAUUUAAUUUUUUUUCCAUUAAAAAACAGUCUGCAAUACUCUAUAACUCUGAUGAGGUCAUGAUCAAGCAAUGUCCAUUUAUUUUAGAAUGUCAAGAUCAGUUUAACCUCAAGAUGGUGCUAGAUGGUUAAGUUGGCUGUCACAACUACUCUUGUUUGUCAUUUAAAUUUUUGCAGAAUGAAAAAGCGUCAAUAAUAUAUAAUUGGUUAAUAACCAAUAAGGAGGCAUAAAAGGACUCUUAUUAAUGUGGAUCACAUAUAUAGAUUAAUAUGUUUAUCUACCGGAGCAGGGCAUGAAUUGAUUUGAAAAGAUACGGAUUGUAUCUGCAUCUAGUGAAAAGUAGUGCUUGGAAAGAAGCAGAGUAUGCAUGAAAGUCUUUGGAAUAACGGGGAUAGGAGAUAUACAGUAUGCAGUGUGGCAUCUUACCAAGUUACGAGAACCAAAUAGUAGUCCAGGAAUAGUGGGAGUGUCAUUCUGGCAAAUUAAAUUAAUUGAAGUAUAAAGAUAAGUGGUAAAUACUUACAGCUGAAGAUUUUAAAGAAUUAUAAACUCUUUUAUUCAAAAUAAAUAGAAAGCAGAAAUGCAUUCGUUAUUCCAAAUGAAGUUGUUUUCAUACUAGAAGAUGGUUAGCCAAAUCACGGCCAUAGUAUUUAAAGUAUAACAGUGCUAUGAAUGUGCUAAGACCCUGCUAGUGCAAACACAGAGAGCUUAAUGUAACGUAGCAGUAUACUCAGAUCAGCAGGGAGAUGAGCUGCGUUAUUCUAAUGACUUCCUUAGCACAAGCAGUCGUGUAGAUGGUGUUACAGCAGAACAGAAAAUGCAGACCGCUGCUGGGGGCUUUCACUUCCGUUGUGGCACUGGGUCUGAUCUUCUAGUACAGUGAAACAGCGGUCAGAUGGCCAGAAAUUCAUGUUACAGCUUCAUUUCUUGUGGAAGAGUCACGGGAAUGAUUUUCAAAGGAGCUCUUGACCAUCGUUUUGUUACUAUUUAUUGCAAAAAAAAAAAAAAGGCACUAGGUUUGUGUAAGCUGCUCAUAAAUCAAUGUGUUGGUCGCUGCAGUGGAUCUACUCUCUUAGAAAAAAUGUUUUUCCAGCUUGAAAUGUGAGUCUGCUUGAAGAUCCCAGUUCCUGGGCAGACCCGUGGGUGUUGGAAAGCAGCAAGUCUGUCUCCUCACUCCCCCACUCAGUUAUUUUUGUUGUUGUUUCCUUUUCUUUUGUCUUUUUUAAUGCUCACUAUUUUGGCAACAAGAUUUAAUCUCUUAGAAAAGCUGCAAAAUGGGAACAAUUUAUGUGUCAAGUCAAUUUGUUUUGCACUAGGAAGGCCUUUCAAAAAGAUGUUUGUUUAAUGUAUAACCUGAUAAAUGAAUCAGCAAAAUAACAUGGGAGCUUGGGGAUGUGCAGUGACAGCUGGCUUUUUAUUUCAUUUUAUUUUUAAUUUUGAAAUUUUUAUUUUGACAGGCAUUUGUCUUGAUAUCUUCCAAUGUUUUCGUAAUUGUUUAAUGCAAGCAAUUACUAAUGAGGAUGCUGAAUCAGCCAAGACAACAUUACAGAAAUCUGAAAAGCUCUGGAAUUGAAAAGGGCCGCUUGAUCUCCUGAAAUCCCUGGAAAUUUGCCACCACGCCUUUGUAUUUAAAAGAGAAGAUUUUGCUGUCCCUCUCAUUUGUAAACCUGGAAUGACAUAAAUGAACACACUGAUGCCUAUACUGCUCAAAGGCUUAGUUUCUUUAGGGUUUAUAUAAUGCAUUUCUUGGAGAGAAAGAGUCAGCUAAAUGUAGUUGUUUGGUGUUUUUUUAUAAAGCAGAGAAAUGGAAGCUGGAUUGUGUCCUACCCACAGAUUUCUAUCAGAUACAGAUAAAAGUAUAAAUAGCCUGGGAGACAGUGUCCUCUUAAAUGACCAUCCUAAGGUUACUGGGGCUUUUGGAGAAGAUUUUUCUUGCCUAGGCAGCUAUAAAGAAACUGAAAGUUGAUUUAAGUUUUUAUUAUAGGGAAAUCAAAUUCUACAUCACUUACAUUCAGUAUUUAAGCAGGGCAAAUGUUUUAUGUUUAAUUUUAGAAAACUGUUCAGAAGGAAAUAACACACCGGUCAUCUCAGUUAUCCAAAAAUUGAUUUUAAAAUGUAUUUCAAAAGGGAAAUAAAUGGCAUUUUUUAGAGCAGUGGGGAAAUGAACAUACUAUGAUUUUUUUUUCAUUAUAUUCCAGCGUGACUUUCCAGCUGACAGAAGGAGAGAGCCAGUAAUAAAAUUCAUGCUUACAUGGUUCAGGAUUAAUCAAGGGGAGAGCUAAGGAUCCUUCCAGGAGCAGUCUCGGAGGUGCAUCCUGCUGAGAUGUGGAGGAUGAAUGUUUGCACCGACCUCUGCUGCACGAAGAUGAGAGCCAGCAGCUGGAUCUCCAUAUGGAGGAUUGAAGUUUUUGCAUUAAAGAAGGAAAUCUUUCCAGCAACUCUUUUGGCAGGUUUCAUUGCUUCAGUCUACUUUGAAAACAAGGUCUUUGGAACAUCCUUUGGAACAAAACAAAUUUCAGCAGUGAACAUUGGUCAAGUGGAGCAGAACGUAAUUUAGAGAUACUUACACUGAGAUAAAAAGACCAAAAAAAAAUUGUCCAGUGCUACUCCAUGGAAAACAGACACGAAUACCUCAGUUCUCAGUCUGCUGACCAUGCUGCGACAAGAACUGAUCCAAAGCUCAUUGAAUUACAAAGAAAAAAUCCCAUCCAUGUCACUGGAGUUUGCAUCAAACCUGAACUGUCAACAGACGACUACUAAGUUACAGAUUAUUUUCAAAAGCACACCUGAUUGAUUAAAAGAGGAAAGCUGUUCUUAAACUUCCAAAGGUUUGUAAUAACUCUUAUUGCAUUUUUUAAAAAUAUUUUGGAGACUUUAUAAUUGAAGAUAAAGUGUAUACAUCAGUGUUGAACCUCGUAACUCUGUCAUCUUUUACCAUAUGUGAACUGCCCUCCCAGAGCAUGUCUACAAUGACAGUGUUAGUUGUAACUAACUGCCCAUGAUCUGGGCAUUUCAUCCCCAGAACAGAAACCAGCACAAACAAUAGAUGCAGACCAGCAGGCUACCACCCACCAAGGCUGAUGUCCUGCCCAAGAACAUGGCCUAUACUAAUAAUGGGGGUGGACCAGCAAAGUGCCAGCUGCAGAAAACAAUGUCCAGCCCAUGAAUGGAGGCUGUCUGAAUAAAUGGGUGAGGACAGGCAACUUGCCAUCCUCGCAGAACAAUGUCCAGACCAAGAACAACAACUGACAGAAAUAACAGGCACAGCCCACCAAGGUGCCACCUGCAGAGGAUGACUUCAAGCCCAUGGACAUGGAACAACCAGAAGACAAGUUCCAGCUGAGGUUAGUGGGGCCUCCUCCAGCAAGACUGGCAAUGUCCCACUGCAAUGCUGGGCCUGGGAUGGGCCCCAGGAAACACAGGCCACACCAUUUCAGGAGGCCCUGGGAUGAGUUCAUGCCUCAGCCUGGGCCCAGGUCCUUGCUCAAGAAGCCACCCAGAAGACAGGAGAGAGCCCAGAAAGAUGGACAUCCCACAGGUGGGAAGCACAGCCGGCCUGCACUUGACUCCCACCAGCAGUAAUACAAAAGUGAACUUUAAAGUGUUGCUUGAGGCCGCCUUCUCCAUCCCACACUGCACCCCCAGUCAGUUAGGGAGACCGUGGAGGGGACAUCUCUCCUGCACACCGCCCCAUGGAUAGGAGAGGGGACGAGAGGAGAGGGCCUCUUAUGCCUAAGCCAUCAGCAGGAAAGUGAUGUAUAUGUAAUCUGUUCUUUCAUAGGUAUAUACCCAACCCACUUACCUGAUCAUUGAAUUACUCUGUUGACAAACAAAUAAAUAAAAAUAAAUUAUUUGAUUCUUUUAAUAUUUUUUACAUUAUCUUCCUCUGAAAUUGUGCAAAGAAUGGAUCUUGUUUUGGUGGAUCAUAUAUGUUUCUAAAGCCAUACUGUAAUUUAUUUUCAUAGUUUUUAGUUCUUUUAGCCAUCUUCUUAACAUUGGUAAAUUUCAAAUUAUUUUAUGGUUUAUAAUUUGAGUAAGUGACAUUAUUUUUUGAACCUGUGCAGUGGAACUUACUUAGGUCCUUUUUCCAAACUCAUGAGUUACCAUUAUUUCCCCCAGACUUUCUCACUAUGUGUUUCCUCAGCUGGGCAGUGCAGCUAGCUCAGUACCUCCCUGUUUUCUGUUUUCCAGGAAAGAAAUUGGAGUUUCUAAAUUAUCAGUAUAUACUGGCUGUCCUAUUUCAAUACACGUACUUCAUUGUUCCACAGAUUAUAUUUUUUUCUCAUAGUUUUACCUAAAAAGCCAAAUAUUUUGGAGAACAUCCUCAGAAUAUUCAGAGGAUGUUCUGAAGAUCCUUUCUGAGACUACUACCAUCUUACAGUUGCCUUAGCUUUAGCCCCACUAAGGCUCUUCUGCAUGAGCUUUUCUAGGGAGAAGUGUGUUUGUUGGUAUGCGUAACAGUGCGUGUAUACUUAAGUGUCUUGCAACUGCUGCCAAAAAAAAAAGUGGAAGUGAAGAGUGGAAAUCAUAAUUUUGAUAAAGUUUUGGGCUUCCUGCCAGACAUGGUAAGUACUACUACCUACAUAAGGACAAAAAACAGAGGCUAAUGUAGUGGCCACACUGAGUGUUCAGUCUGCCUCUGUGGUCACCAACUGGAGGAGGAGGAGACUAGUGCCUGGCUAAUGGGUGCCUCAGGCAUCCAGGUAUCCCCCAUCACUGCCUGCUCCAGGCCUGAUGGCAUCAGUCUACCCACCACUUUUCCAGUUUACUUCAAUACUUCCUGAAAAUGUCUUUAAUGGUUGACUUUGUUCUUUAAAGUAUUGC
Long non-coding RNA from Numida meleagris (helmeted guineafowl), 7027 nucleotides. RefSeq lists it as uncharacterized. The record is from RefSeq and is a predicted model, not a curated record. The transcript has 6 exons. Lineage: Eukaryota; Metazoa; Chordata; Aves; Galliformes; Numididae.